Molecule: ribosomal RNA, 483 nt
Filed under: uncultured bacterium
Lineage: Bacteria
Description: partial 16S ribosomal RNA
Rfam family: Bacterial small subunit ribosomal RNA
Source: RNAcentral
AUUGAACGCUGGCGGCAGGCCUAACACAUGCAAGUCGAGCGGAUGAAGGGAGCUUGCUCCUGGAUUCAGCGGCGGACGGGUGAGUAAUUCCUAGGAAUCUGCCUUGUAGUGGGGGAUAACGUCCGGAAACGGGCGCUAAUACCGCAUACGUCCUGAGGGAGAAAGUGGGGGAUCUUCUGACCUCACGCUAUCAGAUGAGCCUAGGUCUGAUUAGCUAGUUGGUGGGGUAAAGGCCUACCAAGGCGACGAUCCGUAACUGGUCUGAGAGGAUGAUCAGUCACACUGGAACUGAGACACGGUCCAGAAUCCUACGGGAGGCAGCAGUGGGGAAUAUUGGAAAAGGGGAGAAAGCCUGAUCCAGCCAUGCCGCGUGUGUGAAGAAGGUCUUCGGAUUGUAAAGCACUUUAAGUUGGGAGGAAGGGCAGUAAGUUAAUACCUUGCUGUUUUGACGUUACCAACAGAAGAAGCACCGGCUAACUUCGU